GACGGAGGGCGCAAGCGUUGUUCGGAAUUACUGGGCGUAAAGCGCGGGCAGGCGGUCUGUUAAGUCGUUUGUGAAAACCCGGGGCUCAACCCCGGGAAUGCAUACGAUACUGGCAGGCUGGAGACUGGUAGAGGCUAGCGGAAUUCCUGGUGUAGCGGUGGAAUGCGUAGAUAUCAGGAAGAACACCUGUGGCGAAGGCGGCUAGCUGGGCCAGUUCUGACGCUCAUCCGCGAAAGCGUGGGGAGCAAACAGG
Molecule: ribosomal RNA, 253 nt
Filed under: uncultured bacterium
Lineage: Bacteria
Also listed under: 1 other name
Description: partial 16S ribosomal RNA
Rfam family: Bacterial small subunit ribosomal RNA
Source: RNAcentral